RNAcentral lists this ribosomal RNA (501 nucleotides) under uncultured bacterium. RNAcentral describes it as "partial 16S ribosomal RNA". It matches the Rfam family "Bacterial small subunit ribosomal RNA", at positions 29 to 523 of the family's 1533-position model. The record is from RNAcentral.
AUUGAACGCUGGCGGCAUGCCUUACACAUGCAAGUCGAACGGCAGCACGGGUGCUUGCACCUGGUGGCGAGUGGCGAACGGGUGAGUAAUACAUCGGAACGUACCUUAUCGUGGGGGAUAACGCAGCGAAAGCUGUGCUAAUACCGCAUACGCCCUGAGGGGGAAAGCGGGGGAUCGCAAGACCUCGCGCGAUUAGAGCGGCCGAUGCCUGAUUAGCUAGUUGGUGGGGUAAAAGCCCACCAAGGCGACGAUCAGUAGCUGGUCUGAGAAGACGAUCAGCCACACUGGGACUGAGACACGGCCCAGACCCCUACGGGAGGCAGCAGUGGGGAAUUUUGGACAAUGGGGGCAACCCUGAUCCAGCAAUGCCGCGUGAGUGAAGAAGGCCUUCGGGUUGUAAAGCUCUUUUGUCAGGGAAGAAACACCGGCUCUAACACAGUCCGGGAAUGACGGUACCUGAAGAAUAAGCACCGGCUAACUACGUGCCAGCCGCCGCUGUAA